This is a small nucleolar RNA of Apodemus sylvaticus (European woodmouse), 103 nucleotides long. RefSeq annotates it as small nucleolar RNA U13. NCBI's taxonomy places the organism in Eukaryota, Metazoa, Chordata, Mammalia, Rodentia, Muridae. The record is from RefSeq and is a predicted model, not a curated record. The transcript has a single exon.
AUCCUUUCUGGUUCAUAAAGCAUGAUGAUUGGGUGUUCACACUUUUGCGUGACACAUGUUGCCCAUAAACCUUGUUAGACGUGGGCACAUUACCCAUCUGACG